RNAcentral lists this ribosomal RNA (363 nucleotides) under uncultured Pelotomaculum sp. Its description in RNAcentral is "bacterial SSU rRNA". It matches the Rfam family "Bacterial small subunit ribosomal RNA", at positions 1019 to 1382 of the family's 1533-position model. Lineage: Bacteria; Bacillati; Bacillota; Clostridia; Eubacteriales; Desulfotomaculaceae. The record is from RNAcentral.
UUCGGAGACAGGGAGACAGGUGGUGCAUGGUUGUCGUCAGCUCGUGUCGUGAGAUGUUGGGUUAAGUCCCGCAACGAGCGCAACCCCUACGUUUAGUUGCUAACGCGUGAAGGCGAGCACUCUAGACGAACUGCCGUUGACAAAACGGAGGAAGGUGGGAUGACGUCAAAUCAUCAUGCCCCUUAUGUUCUGGGCUACACACGUGCUACAAUGGCCGGUACAGACGGACGCAAAGCCGCGAGGCGGAGCAAAUCCGAAAAAGCCGGUCUCAGUUCGGAUUGCAGGCUGCAAUUCGCCUGCAUGAAGUCGGAAUCGCUAGUAAUCGCAGGUCAGCAUACUGCGGUGAAUACGUUCCCGGGCCUU